AAGUUAUUAGCUAAUGGAAGCAUGCCUGUUUUGAAAACAGGUAUAUGGUGUUCAAGUCACCAAUAACUUU
This 70-nucleotide transfer RNA is filed under the name Fissurella volcano. Its description in RNAcentral is "tRNA-Ser". It matches the Rfam family "tRNA". From Rfam's summary of the family: Transfer RNA (tRNA) molecules are approximately 80 nucleotides in length. Their secondary structure includes four short double-helical elements and three loops (D, anti-codon, and T loops). Lineage: Eukaryota; Metazoa; Mollusca; Gastropoda; Lepetellida; Fissurellidae. The record is from RNAcentral.